This 484-nucleotide ribosomal RNA is filed under the name uncultured bacterium. RNAcentral describes it as "partial 16S ribosomal RNA". It matches the Rfam family "Bacterial small subunit ribosomal RNA", at positions 30 to 507 of the family's 1533-position model. The record is from RNAcentral.
AUUGAACGCUGGCGGCAGGCGUAACACAGGAAAGUCGAGCGGAUGAAGGGAGCUUGCUCCUGGAUUCAGCGGCGGACGGGUGAGUAAUGCCUAGGAAUCUGCUUGGUAGUGGGGGAUAACGUCCGGAAACGGGCGCUAAUACCGCAUACGUCCUGAGGGAGAAAGUGGGGGAUCUUCGGACCUCACGCUAUCAGAUGAGCCUAGGUCGGAUUAGCUAGUUGGUGGGGUAAAGGCCUACCAAGGCGACGAUCCGUAACUGGUCUGAGAGGAUGAUCAGUCACACUGGAACUGAGACACGGUCCAGACUCCUACGGGAGGCAGCAGUGGGGAAUAUUGGACAAUGGGCGAAAGCCUGAUCCAGCCAUGCCGCGUGUGUGAAGAAGGUCUUCGGAUUGUAAAACACUUUAAGUUGGGAGGAAGGGCAGUAAGUUAAUACCUUGCUGUUUUGACGUUACCAACAGAAUAAGCACCGGCUAACUUCGUC